This 259-nucleotide ribosomal RNA is filed under the name uncultured prokaryote. Its description in RNAcentral is "partial 16S ribosomal RNA". It matches the Rfam family "Bacterial small subunit ribosomal RNA", at positions 524 to 782 of the family's 1533-position model. The record is from RNAcentral.
CACGUAGGGGGCGAGCGUUGUCCGGAAUUACUGGGGUGUAAAGGGUGCGUAGGCGGCCUUGCAAGUCAGAUGUGAAAGAUCACGGCUUAACUGUGGUAAGCAUUUGAAACUGUAAGGCUUGAGUGCAGGAGAGGAGAGUGGAAUUCCUAGUGUAGCGGUGAAAUGCGUAGAUAUUAGGAAGAAUAUCAGUGGCGAAGGCGGCUCUCUGGACUGCAACUGACGCUGAGGCACGAAAGCGUGGGGAGCAAACAGGAUUAGA